Molecule: non-coding RNA, 208 nt
Organism: Arachis ipaensis
Lineage: Eukaryota; Viridiplantae; Streptophyta; Magnoliopsida; Fabales; Fabaceae
Source: RefSeq, a predicted model, not a curated record
UCAAGGUCUAGUGAAUCUUUGAUGUUUGGCACUGCCAUCAGUGUUUUAAGGCAUGUGCGUGAUAGUCUUUCUUUUCCUUUUUCAUUCUUUGUUGGAUAUUAGAACCAAAUUGUGCCUAAGGGAUAGUCUAUACCGUUUGGCUAAGAGUGCCGAGCAAAGACAUAAUGACUCAAUUGCAAAUGGUUGCACCGGAGAUGAUGAAGCAUGC